This 376-nucleotide ribosomal RNA is filed under the name uncultured soil bacterium. RNAcentral describes it as "bacterial SSU rRNA". It matches the Rfam family "Bacterial small subunit ribosomal RNA", at positions 26 to 403 of the family's 1533-position model. The record is from RNAcentral.
AGAUUGAACGCUGGCGGCAUGCCUUACACAUGCAAGUCGAACGGCAGCACGGGAGCAAUCCUGGUGGCGAGUGGCGAACGGGUGAGUAAUACAUCGGAACGUGCCCAAUCGUGGGGGAUAACGCAGCGAAAGCUGUGCUAAUACCGCAUAAGAUCUACGGAUGAAAGCAGGGGAUCGCAAGACCUUGCGCGAAUGGAGCGGCCGAUGGCAGAUUAGGUAGUUGGUGAGGUAAAGGCUCGACCAAGCCUUCGAUCUGUAGCUGGUCUGAGAGGACGACCAGCCACACUGGGACUGAGACACGGCCCAGACUCCUACGGGAGCAGCAGUGGGGAAUUUGGACAAGUGGGCGAAAGCCUGACUCCAGCCAUGCCGCGUG